AUACGUAGGUGGCGAGCGUUGUCCGGAAUUAUUGGGCGUAAAGGGCGCGUAGGCGGGAUAGUCAGUCUGUUGUAAAAGUUCGGGGCUCAACCCCGUGAAGCAAUGGAAACUGCUAUUCUUGAGUGCAGGAGAGGAAAGUGGAAUUCCCAGUGUAGCGGUGAAAUGCGUAGAUAUUAGGAAGAACACCAGUGGCGAAGGCGACUUUCUGGACCGUAACUGACGCUGAGAUACGAAAGCGUGGGGAGC
Molecule: ribosomal RNA, 246 nt
Filed under: uncultured bacterium
Lineage: Bacteria
Description: partial 16S ribosomal RNA
Rfam family: Bacterial small subunit ribosomal RNA
Source: RNAcentral